This 428-nucleotide long non-coding RNA is filed under the name Rattus norvegicus (Norway rat). RNAcentral's name for it is "long non-coding RNA NONRATT007525". The record is from RNAcentral. Lineage: Eukaryota; Metazoa; Chordata; Mammalia; Rodentia; Muridae.
CCCCGCCAACUCGCGGUCGGGAACGCCGCGAACCCCGAUUCCCCUCAAGCUGCGCCCGCUCCCGGUCGGUGGCGGCAGCAGGGCCUGUCGGGGGUCGGCCGCGCGGGUCCCCCUCCGCCCGGGGCCUCGCAGGAGGCCGUGGGCCUGCGCGCGCUGCCCCGGCUAGGCCAGAAUAACACGCGCGUCCUGGUUUUAAUUCUUGCCCCGGCCCCCUGGGUGCUGCUGUGGGUUAGCUGCCAAGAUUGAGGAUUCCUCGCUCCUCUUUCUCUCUUUCCCCUCUGUAGUUUUAAGCUAUAAGAUUAAUCAUGAGUGACCAAAUCAAAUUCAUCGUGGACAGCCUCAAUAAGGAGCCUUUUAAGAAGAACUAUAAUUUAAUCACAUUUGAUUCUUUGGGACCAAUGCAACUAUUACAAGUUCUCAAUGAUGUC